RNAcentral lists this non-coding RNA (923 nucleotides) under Scinax melanodactylus. Its description in RNAcentral is "partial 12S small subunit ribosomal RNA". It matches the Rfam family "Bacterial small subunit ribosomal RNA". Lineage: Eukaryota; Metazoa; Chordata; Amphibia; Anura; Hylidae. The record is from RNAcentral.
UGGUCCUGGCCUUGAGAUCAAUUUUUACCUAAUUUACACAUGCAAGUCUCCGCACCCCUGUGAGAACGCCCUUAAAUCCCCUCUAGGGACAAGGAGCUGGCAUCAGGCUCAACCUAAGCCCAUGACGCCUAGCUACGCCACACCCACAAGGGUAUUCAGCAGUGAUUAACAUUGACCAUAAGCGCAAGCUUGACUCAAUUAAGGUAAAGAGAGCCGGCAAAUCCGGUGCCAGCCGCCGCGGCUACACCGCGAGGCUCAAAUUGAUAUCUUCCGGCGUAAAGCGUGAUUAAAGGCUUCACCAAACUGUAGUCAAACUAAAACUAAGCCGUGACAAGCUUGUUCAACAGAAGCUCAAAAACGAAAGUAACUACAAUUCACCCAACUUGAACUCACGUCAGCUAGGAAACAAACUGGGAUUAGAUACCCCACUAUGCCUAGCCGUAAACCUUAACUUACACCCAAAUCGCCAGGGAACUACGAGCGAAAGCUUAAAACCCAAAGGACUUGACGGUACCCCACAUCCACCUAGAGGAGCCUGUCCUAUAAUCGAUAAUCCCCGUUUAACCUCACCAUUUUUUGCUUUUCAGCCUGUAUACCUCCGUCGUCAGCUUACCACGUGAGCGCCCCUCAGUGAGCUAAAUGUCCUUCGUCAAAACGUCAGGUCAAGGUGCAGCAUACAAAAUGGGAAGAGAUGGGCUACACUCUCUAGCAUAGAACACACGAAAGGCUACAUAUGAAACCCUAGCCUGAAGGCGGAUUUAGUAGUAAAAAGAGACAAGAGAGCUCUUUUUAACACGGCACUGGGGUGUGUACACACCGCCCGUCACCCUCUUCAAAGCCACAAAACAGUAUUUAACACCAUAAAGCAACAAAGAAGAGGCAAGUCGUAACAUGGUAAGUAUACCGGAAGGUGUGCUUGGAAA